UGAGGUAGGCUCAGUAGAUGCGA
Molecule: microRNA, 23 nt
Filed under: Caenorhabditis briggsae
Lineage: Eukaryota; Metazoa; Nematoda; Chromadorea; Rhabditida; Rhabditidae
Also listed under: 2 other names
Description: cbr-miR-48
Gene: cbr-miR-48
Source: miRBase by way of RNAcentral